This 1550-nucleotide long non-coding RNA is filed under the name Homo sapiens (human). RNAcentral describes it as "HSALNT0172883". The record is from RNAcentral. Lineage: Eukaryota; Metazoa; Chordata; Mammalia; Primates; Hominidae.
AUAAAUAAACCCAUAAGAAGAGCGGAAAGCAGACCAGAGCCUCUGGGAGUUGGCCCUCACCUGCAGAAGAAAGCACAGAGAUUCUUCCUGGGGACUGAUGGUUCACAAGGGCACGAAGUGCAGUAUAUAAAAAGAGGAUAAUGACUUGACUUCAGUGCAGGAAAAGGCCCAAUGAACAGAGCAGCCAAGCUUGCCGGGACUAGAAUAGAUGAAAGUUUGGAGAAGAGUCGAGAAGAAAUGGCAUUGUCUGCAUGGAGAAACUCCCCAUUUUACAUACAGUACUUCUGAGAUGCUAAAGUAGACUUUCUGAAGUUCAAAGUUUAAAGAAGAAAGACUCAACUUUGAACGGUUCUGAGUGAGAAGCUGGAAUAAUGGUAGGCAGCCUUCUGAACUAUUCACAGUUGUCUAGUGUGUGCCUUCACUACAUGGACACUGAUGCAUUAGCUUUCUCUACAGGGCUGGCUUCAUGGGAGUGUAAUCUGUGCAGUCACACAGGACCUCAUCCCUAAAGAGGUCCUCCUGCACAAGGUCUAACACUCUGCAUAGCCAUCUUGAAAUUCUUAAUAAUUUUUGAACAAGAUAUCCCACAUUCUCAGUUUGCAUCGGGCCCAGCAAAUUAUGCAGCCAGUCCUGGUUUAGAAAGACAAAGAGCUGUCACUUUAUACAGUCCCAGACACCAGGUCUUUGCUGUGUCAGAAUUGUAUGAGGAGUUAAGAAUAUAAUUUACAUUGUAUAAACCUUCAAACUGCACAGAUACAUCUGUUUUUGUUUAUUUGUUUUGUUUGCAUUUUCAUUUCAUGUCUUGUUCCUGUUACAGGGAGAGAAGGGCCACAUUUUUUGUUUUUAUUGUUUAAUGCAUGCUAUUUUAAGAUUUCUCAAGAAGACAGCAGUCCCUGUCCAAAACUGUGUCUGUGUUCUGUGGUUAAUUCUAUUCUCCACAUUCUACAUGGAAUUCCUGAUUCAGGAUUCCCUUAUGUGAUUCCAUGACCAGAGAGGCUCAGGAGGAAAUGAAUCCCUUAUUGAAGUCAAGGGAGAACUGGAUUCAUCUUGGGGAGAUUUUUUCCUUCAUCUGCUGGGUAAGGAGAAAAACAAAAGAAAGGUCAGCUUUCCUGUUUCUCAGAGAACAGAGAUCAUAAUGUCUGCUGUUUCGUAAACCCACUCACAGUCCCCAUGUUAGUGACAACCAGAAGACGACAUUCUUGAAAGUAGAACAGAAAUUCAACUUAGCACUGUGGGGCAGUGUCUCCUCCACGAACUGGGAUUGGAAAUGUCUCAUAUUAAACCCAGAGUGGGACCAAGAACACACCGUAGAUGAUGGCUUGCUUUAAAUAAAAAUUAUGUCUUAAUGACACUUUACCUAACUGACUUUGGAAAGUAAUUCCCUGUCCAAGGAUUGAAGAGAUACAUCAUGCCAAGCUGUAUGAUACGUAAACUUUCCAUCCUUUUAAGUUUUCCUAAUUCUAAGAAGAAAUUAUGAUUAACAGUAAUAAUGACCACAAACAUAGUAAACAUACUAGGAUAAUGAUCACAAAUAGAGCUUGAAAUCCUGA